Molecule: ribosomal RNA, 253 nt
Filed under: uncultured bacterium
Lineage: Bacteria
Description: partial 16S ribosomal RNA
Rfam family: Bacterial small subunit ribosomal RNA
Source: RNAcentral
CACGUAGGGGACGAGCGUUGUCCGGAUUCAUUGGGCGUAAAGCGCGCGUAGGCGGCCCUGUAAGUCCGUUGUGAAAGUCAAAGGCUCAACCUUUGAAAGCCGAUGGAUACUGCAGGGCUAGAGUCCGGAAGAGGCGAGUGGAAUUCCUGGUGGAGCGGUGAAAUGCGCAGAUAUCAGGAGGAACACCCGUAGCGAAGGCGGCACUCUGGGCCGAUACUGACACUGAGGAGCGAAAGCGUGGGGAGCGAACAGG